Molecule: long non-coding RNA, 400 nt
Filed under: Salvator merianae (Argentine black and white tegu)
Lineage: Eukaryota; Metazoa; Chordata; Lepidosauria; Squamata; Teiidae
Description: lncRNA (ENSSMRG00000017846.1)
Source: RNAcentral
UGCCCAUCGUUUCGGCGUCGCUCAGCAGCCCUGAAGGCUUAAGGCACGGACGGAUAGGAAAGCGGGAAGUCCUCUGGUGAUUAAAAAAAAAAAAGGUGGGGAGGGGAAAAAAAUCUAAGGCGGGGGGAGAAGAGAGCCAGCCGAGGAGCCGCUGAGCGCCUCCUCAGCAAGCUUCAUCAGCAGCACUACUAAGGCGGCGAGGCUGCCUGCCUGCCUGCCCGCCCGUGCCCUGGAAAUCUGCCUGCUUCGGCUCGAAGGCAUCGCUUUGCACUUUCCCCUAUCAGGUGAUGGUGAACUGAGACAGGACUCUGUAUGAUGCCUUGAAGUAAGUUCAGUGUCCUCUUAUUUAUUUUUUCCCCUCCCCCUUCUUAUGUCAUCACAGUGGUUGCCUUAUGAGCUG